CCUACGGGGGGCAGCAGUGGGGAAUAUUGCACAAUGGAGGAAACUCUGAUGCAGCGAUGCCGCGUGAGGGAAGAAGGUUUUCGGAUUGUAAACCUCUGUCUUAAGGGACGAUAAUGACGGUACCUUAGGAGGAAGCUCCGGCUAACUACGUGCCAGCAGCCGCGGUAAUACGUAGGGAGCGAGCGUUGUCCGGAAUUACUGGGUGUAAAGGGAGUGUAGGCGGGAUGGUAAGUUAGGUGUGAAAUGCGGAGGCUCAACCUCCGAGCUGCACUUAAAACUGCUGUUCUUGAGUGAAGUAGAGGUUGGCGGAAUUCCCAGUGUAGCGGUGAAAUGCGUAGAUAUUGGGAGGAACAUCAGUGGCGAAGGCGGCCAACUGGGCUUUUACUGACGCUGAGGCUCGAAAGCGUGGGGAGCAAACAGGAUUAGAUACCCCAGUAGU
RNAcentral lists this ribosomal RNA (439 nucleotides) under uncultured bacterium. Its description in RNAcentral is "bacterial SSU rRNA". It matches the Rfam family "Bacterial small subunit ribosomal RNA", at positions 338 to 794 of the family's 1533-position model. The record is from RNAcentral.